AUGGCCACAUCAUAUUGAAACACUGGUUCCUGUAUGAUCCCAGAAGUUAAGCAACAUCAAGCCUGGUCAGUACUUAGAUGGGUAACCACUUGGAAAUAAUAUCAGGUGCUGUAAG
Non-coding RNA from Acanthosepion pharaonis, 115 nucleotides. NCBI's taxonomy places the organism in Eukaryota, Metazoa, Mollusca, Cephalopoda, Sepiida, Sepiidae. The record is from the annotation of a GenBank genome assembly.